This 329-nucleotide ribosomal RNA is filed under the name uncultured eukaryote. RNAcentral's name for it is "partial 18S ribosomal RNA". It matches the Rfam family "Eukaryotic small subunit ribosomal RNA", at positions 1470 to 1796 of the family's 1831-position model. The record is from RNAcentral.
CCCUUAGAUGUCCUGGGCCGCACGCGCGCUACACUGAGUGUCUGAGAUACGAGUCUGCCUGGUCCGGCAAGGUCUAGGUAAUCGCUAAAAGACACAUCAUGCUUGGGAUAGAUUAUUGCAAAUAUUAAUCUUGAACGAGGAAUUCCUAGUAAGCGCAAGUCAACAGCUUGCGUUGAUUACGUCCCUGCCCUUUGUACACACCGCCCGUCGCUACUACUGAUUGGAUGUUUAAGCGAGGUUCUCGAACUGCUAGCGACUUAGCUUCGGUGAGGUCGCAGUGUGGGAAGUGAAUCUAGCUUUGGUGUCUAGAGGAAGUAAAAGUCGUAACA